Molecule: transfer RNA, 96 nt
Filed under: Naumovozyma castellii
Lineage: Eukaryota; Fungi; Ascomycota; Saccharomycetes; Saccharomycetales; Saccharomycetaceae
Description: tRNA-Lys
Rfam family: tRNA
About the family: Transfer RNA (tRNA) molecules are approximately 80 nucleotides in length. Their secondary structure includes four short double-helical elements and three loops (D, anti-codon, and T loops). Further hydrogen bonds mediate the characteristic L-shaped molecular structure. tRNAs have two regions of fundamental functional importance: the anti-codon, which is responsible for specific mRNA codon recognition, and the 3' end, to which the tRNAs corresponding amino acid is attached (by aminoacyl-tRNA synthetases). tRNAs cope with the degeneracy of the genetic code in two manners: having more than one tRNA (with a specific anti-codon) for a particular amino acid; and 'wobble' base-pairing, i.e. permitting non-standard base-pairing at the 3rd anti-codon position.
Source: RNAcentral
UCCUUGUUAGCUCAGUUGGUAGAGCGUUCGGCUUUUAAGCAUUUGUCUUAAACCAAGGAUACCGAAAUGUCAGGGGUUCGAACCCCCUAUGAGGAG